UCUUUUUGUAUCUCGGGAAAAGAUGUAUUAUAUAAUUGUUUAGAGCUUUAUGUUAGAUUCUGGAUUUAGAUGUAUAUUUUUGUAUCUCUAUUGUGGAUCGCUUUAUGCUAGAACUUUAGUGAUUUUAUUAUACUUGCUCUGAUAGUCUUUUUAGGACUUCUAUGUUUAUUUUUUGUUUAGUAGACGCCUUGUGUGCAUUGUGUUUGUUGGUGUACACCGCGGGUCUAUGCACGCGUCGGCGGGCUUCCGCUGGGCCCGGGGCGUGACAUUGAAGUUGGUGUAUGGUUUAUGAGGUUUGGUUAUAGUUUGAGUCAUGAACUUGGUGUAUGGUUCAUGAGAUUUGGGUAUUGGAUUUGUUUUAUGAACUUGAAUAUGGUUUAUUGGGUUUGGUAUAUGAGAUUUGGUUCAUGAAGUUGGGCAUGGUUGAUGGGAUAUGGUGUAUGGUUCAUGAGAUUUGGUUCAUGGAUAUGGUUCAUAGUUUAUGGUUCAUAAUUUUGGUAUAUGGUUUAUGGAACUUGGUUUAUUUGGUUCAUGGUUCAUGGUUCAUAAGGUAUGGUUCAUGAACUUGGUUUAUGAUUCAUGAACUUGGUGUAUGGUUUACGGGUUUGGUUUGUGGUUCAUGAACUUGGGUAUGAUUCAUGGGAUGUGGUGUAUGGACUAUGAACUUGGUACAUGGUUCACGAGAUUUGAGUCAUGAACUUGAUGUAUGGUUCAUGAGAUUUGGGUAUUGGAUUUGUUUCGUGAACUGGAUAUGAUCCAUUGGGUUUGGUGUAUGGGAUUUGGUUCAUAUGAUGUGGUGUAGUGGUGUUUGGUUUACGAACGUGGUUUAUGGUUUAUAGGAUUUGGUUCAUGAACUUGGGUAUGGUUUGUGGUGUUUCACGAACUUGGGUAAGCUUUAUGAACUUGGCUCAUGGUUUAUGGGAUUUGGUUCAUGAACUUGGGUAUGGUUCGUGGUGUUUGGUUCAAGAACUUGGUUCAUGGUUUAUGGGAUUUGGUUCAUGAACUUNUGGGAUUUGGUUCAUGAACUUGGGUAUGGUUCGUGGUGUUUGGUUCAAGAACUUGGUUCAUGGUUUAUGGGAUUUGGUUCAUGAACUUGGGUAUGAAUCCAAGUUGGAAGUCGGGUUUGGGUUCUAUUUGUGGUUCGGAUUGGAUUUGAGUUUGGGAUUUUAUUUGUGGACUUGAUUUGGGUUUUGGGUUUCGGUUUCGGCUUUAUUUGUGGAUUUAGAUUUGAUUUGGAUUUGGGUUCAAAAGGAUUGCAAUUUGAUUUAGGGUCCGAAGAAAUCCCUUUUUAAUUUUGCAAUUUGAUUUGGGGUCCGAAGAAAUUUUCUUUUGAUUUUAAUUUGAUUUGGGAUCCGAAGAAAUUUCCGUUUGAUCUCUUUGGGGUCCGAAGAAAUUCCCGUUUGAUUCUAAUUUGGGGUCCGAAGAAAUCCCUGUUUGAUCUCGAUUUGGGGUCCGAAGAAAUCCCCGUUUGAUUUAUGAUUUGGGGUCCGAAGAAAUCCCGGUUUGAUUUUGAUUUGGGGUCCGACGAAAUCCCUGUUUGAUUUCGAUUUGGGGUACGAAGAAAUUUCCGUUUGAUCCUAAUUUGGGGUUCGAAGAAAUCCCCGUUUGAUUUAUGAUUUGGGGUCCGAAGAAAUCCCCGUUUGAUCUUGAUUUGGGAUCCGAAGAAACGGGAAAUCUUUGAUUCCCCUCCCAUCUUCUUUCGAAAACACCGAAUCGGUAAAGUUGGAGAUGACGGCGGCAAAGACGAUGAUGGUGGCGUUGAUCUUAAUGGGCCGACGGAUUUGAUUCGACAUUUUCGAAAGAUGUUGAAGGGUCCGAAGAAACGGGGAAUCGAAGAUUCCCCUCCCUUCUUCUUUCGAAAAUAUUGAACCGACGAUGCUGGAGAUGACGUCGGUGAAGAUGAUGACGGUGGCGCGGAUCUGUUUGGCCUUUGGAUUUGAUUUGACAUUCUUGAAAGAUGUUGAAGGGUCCGAAGAAACGGGGAAUUGAAGAUUCCCCUCCCCUCUUCUUUCGAAAACACCAAACCGACAAUGAUGGAGAUGACGUCGGUGAAGAUGAUGACGGUGGUGCGGAUCUGUUCGGCCGGUAGAUUUGGUUUGGCAUUCGAAAGAUGUUGAAGGGUCUGAAGAAACGGAAAAUCAAAGAUUCCCCUUCCCUCUUCUUUCGAAAGUAUCAAAUCGUCGGUGCUGGGAGUGGUCGCGGCAAUGUAGAUCACCCAUUCCAUCAUCAACUACUUCGAUUGGAUAUUGAGAGGUCCGAAUAAAUGGGAAGCCAUUGGCUUCCUUCCACUCUCCUAUCGAAGUCGUCUAGACGAUAUAGAUGACUACGGAAGCAGGGCCAAAAAAGAAAAAAAAAAUGGAGGGGGGAAGAAAAGGGUUUUUUUUUUUUCUUUUUUCUUUUUAAUUUUUUUUUACGUUUUAUUAUUAUUAUUUUUUUCUUCAUUUUUUUCUUUUUUUUUUUUACCUGUUGAUUAGAUGACGGAUCGGAUGAAGCGGCUCGGCGACCUCUCAUCCUUUCCGCAGCUCGGCGAUCUCUCCUUCUUUCCGCGGCUCAGCGAUCUCUCCUCCUUUCCGCGGCUCGAUGAUCUUUCCUCCUUUCCGCGGUUUGGCGAUCUUUCCUCUGAAUUUUUUUGUACGUCGGAACAUGUGUAGGAAUCUAUUUUUUUUCCUUCUUCGUCUAUCGUAUUGUCCUCCGUAUUGAUUUCUAUCCUCAUAUUUAUAAUAGGAGGGGUGGCGAGAGAUAUUUUGAGAAGUCAGUUAAGAAUUCGAAAUUCGAAAUCGAAUUUUGAAUGGAUUGUUGGAUAGUUGGAAGAUAUUUUUGGAGUUCGUUGGGGAUUCGAAAUUCGAAAUCGAAUUUUGAAUGGGUUGUUGGAUGGAUAUGUAUUCAAAAUUCGAAUGGAUGUUGGUUGAGAGAUAUUUUGGGAGUUGGUUGGAGAUUCAAAAUUCGAAAUUAAAUUUUGAAUAGGUUGUGGGAUGGAUAGGUAUUCAAAAUUCGAACGGAUGUCGGUUGAGAGACAUUUUGGGAGUUGGUUGGAGAUUCGAAAUUCGAAAUCAAAUUUCAAAUUGGUUGUGGGAUAACAGAUAUUUUCUAAUUGGUUGGGGGUUUAAAAAUUUAAAAUUGAAUUUGAAUAUGAUAUUCGAAAUUGAAUUUUCAAACGUGGGUGAAAAUGUGGACCGUGAUCCCAUGAAUUGGGUUGAAAUUGGGCCCACUUUGAUGAAACUUGUUGGGCACAAAUAUU
RNAcentral lists this long non-coding RNA (3238 nucleotides) under Ananas comosus (pineapple). Its description in RNAcentral is "long non-coding RNA (ACOM_LNC020375)". The record is from RNAcentral. Lineage: Eukaryota; Viridiplantae; Streptophyta; Magnoliopsida; Poales; Bromeliaceae.